This 323-nucleotide long non-coding RNA is filed under the name Homo sapiens (human). RNAcentral's name for it is "HSALNT0061593". Lineage: Eukaryota; Metazoa; Chordata; Mammalia; Primates; Hominidae. The record is from RNAcentral.
GGGAGAAGAAAUGGGGGUAGGAGGAGGGUGAAGAGAAGAUUUUACAUAUUGGUGCCCCAGCAAGGGAGCCCACCUCAUUGAGGUCAUAGGUGGGGCCUACCUUGGGAGAAGUAGAGUAGAAAGAGGGGUGUGAGGUGCCCACACAGAUGAGCCUGAGGCAACUUUUCCCAUACACCCUGGUGUGACUCCUGGUAGAGAGACAGGCAAGAUAGCCAGCAGACCCAAGAGGGCUUGCGGUAUACAAACCAUGAGAACACGGUGGUCAUCUGCUUGGAUCAAGGAUGAGAAAGUAUCCAGGAUGUAGAUCUAGCCUUGAACUGUAG